UACGGGGGGGGCAAGCGUUGUUCGGAAUUACUGGGCGUAAAGGGCUCGUAGGCGGCCAACUAAGUCGGAUGUGAAAUCCCCAGGCUUAACCUGGGAAUUGCAUCCGAUACUGGAUGGCUUGAAUCCGGGAGAGGGAUGCGGAAUUCCAGGUGUAGCGGUGAAAUGCGUAGAUAUCUGGAGGAACACCGGUGGCGAAGGCGGCAUCCUGGACCGGCAUUGACGCUGAGGAGCGAAAGCGUGGGGAGCGAACAGG
Molecule: ribosomal RNA, 253 nt
Filed under: uncultured bacterium
Lineage: Bacteria
Description: partial 16S ribosomal RNA
Rfam family: Bacterial small subunit ribosomal RNA
Source: RNAcentral